Molecule: long non-coding RNA, 1035 nt
Organism: Leopardus geoffroyi (Geoffroy's cat)
Lineage: Eukaryota; Metazoa; Chordata; Mammalia; Carnivora; Felidae
Exons: 3
Source: RefSeq, a predicted model, not a curated record
ACCGGCACCCAACUGUGCUUCUCUCCUGCCCGAGCUGGGGGAGCCUCGGGAACCCCCAAACAGCAAACCAGCCCAACGUGGACGCUCUCCGCUGGGAUUUCGUUUUGGGGGAGCCGGAACACCUGUCCGCUGAUCGCCUGCCACUCCGCAUCUGGGCCCGGCUGACAGGCUUGUCUGCUUUGACUAAUGAUGUGAUUGAUGGACAAAAUAAGGAAGAACAUACAAAAAAACAUUUCUGUCUGGUCUGGUGUGUCAGCAAGCCUUCAUCAAGUGGCUGCUGAAGGCUAAACAUGUGGAAAAUGCCACAGAGCUGAUGCCAGGAUCAUCUCACUCAGCAAACCGAGUAUUCAUAACCUCGCUCCGAUGGCCUGCUGUGGAUGGGGUGACAUUCAUGAGAAUUACACAUGCCACGCUGUCGCCUCUUUGUGCAUAUAAUAAUGAUCUGAAAAUCAGUUCUGGCUGGAACACGAGGGAGGCAAAGAACUGCUUCACUCGGAUAACAAGACACGUGUGAGUUAGAGAUCAUGCUUAAAAACAAGAGAGAAAGUGGGGAAGUUCUUGGCCUGAUUUUUUCCCCUUCUCUUUCUUUAUUGGGCCACAGAAUUCCUACUUUAUUUCUUGUAAAGUAUUUGAAUUCUCCUUGAUAUUUAUUUUUCUUGCUUCUUUCCUUCCUUCCUUCCUUCCUUCCUUCCUUCCUUCCAUUUUUUCUCUUUCUCUCUCUCUCUUCCUUCCUUCUUUCCUUCCUUCCAUUUUUCUCCCUUUCUUCCUUCCUUCCUUCCUCCCUCCCUCCCUUCCUUUCUUCCUUUCUUCCAACAAAUUUUCUUUGCCAAGGUAUUUUAUUACACACGUUCCACUCCUUUCUUUAACACGUUGGACUGUCUCCAAAGAGAAAUGCUUCAAAUGAAGUUUCAUUUUAAAAACACUUUUUUAUUUUUUCUUGCUACCAUGAUGAGCCUUCAGUGGUGGGUUAUUGUGAAUAAUAUGUGAUUUUAACGAGUUGAGAUUAGACAAAACUCUCUUCCUAUAAUAAAUACU